UAAGAGCCUACCAAGGCAUCGAUCGGUAGCUGGUCUGAGAGGACGAUCAGCCACACUGGGAUUGAGAACGGCCCAGACUCCUACGGGGGGCAGCAGUGAGGAAUUUUCGUCAAUGGGGGCAACCCUGAACGAGCAACGCCGCGUGCAGGAAGAAGGUUUUCGGAUCGUAAACCGCUUUUCUCUGGGACGAGCAAGGACGGUACCAGAGGAAUCAGCCCCGGCUAACUACGUGCCAGCAGCCGCGGUAAUACGUAGGGGGCGAGCGUUGUCCGGAUUUAUUGAAAAUAAAGGGUCCGCAGGCGGUUUGGUAAGUUUGACGUGACAGAAAUCCGGUUCAACUGGGAAAGUGCGUUGGAAACUGCCAGACUUGAGGGCUUCAGAGGGACACGGAAUUCCGGGUGGAGUGGUGAAAUG
Molecule: ribosomal RNA, 414 nt
Filed under: uncultured soil bacterium
Lineage: Bacteria
Description: bacterial SSU rRNA
Rfam family: Bacterial small subunit ribosomal RNA
Source: RNAcentral